CUUCCCUGCUUUGUGCGAGACAAAAUAAAAAAUGUACAAUUGGUGACAAAGGGACAUGACCCCCUUAAGCAAUUGUAGGCCCAGAAGUUACAAAGCAGGCCAAUUAGGGGGCGGUGAUUUGCAUUACAAGAAGACCCUUUGCUUCAUACUAGGAGUUCUCAGUGGGCUGCAAUAGGUUGCGCCCCAGGGGGGUUAAAGAUUCAAUUUACAGAACAGUGAUUCGCCCACAACUCUCCCACAGCACGCCCCUUUGUGUAAACGAGUGCAUCUGUACUGACUUUUGACCAGCCUCCCAGUCCUGAGAUUUGUUGUUUCGCAAACGACACAGGCAGUCCUUACACUAGCUCACACGCACACACGCCUGCUUUGCCGUGCCCUGCCAAUUUCUCAAAAACAGAAGAUGCGGCUCCUCCCCAGGCUGGCACCUGGCUUUGAAGAUGUUGGAGAUGCGGCUGAUGGCCUGUGUUCCUGUAAAGAAGGGCAUCUCAAAGUCACCUGCCGCACCAUGUAAGUGCUCAGAUGGCCAGGAACCUGCUCGGUGGAACAGCCCAGUGCAGAGGUCGGGAGACGAGCCAGGGGGAAUUAACCUGCCCAGAUCACACACACGCACAUGGAACUGGCAGCAGACUUCCCAUGCCCAAACCCAGUCUUUGGAUUGUGGUCUAGCACUGUCUGUCUGAAUGCAGGAGGCCACACAGCACUGUUGGCUGAAACGUUAUCAGCUUAUUCUCCUUGUGCAUUCUGCAUGCGAUUCCACGCAUACUCAUUUCCACUCUAGAGCAGCCCUGUCGUUUGGAAGGCCCGCUCCACGUGAUGUGCCCAAUUACUUUGAUGUCUGAAUUAGUCAUUCUGUUUCUCUAACAGUUUCGCCGUGGAUUUUUCCAGAGACAACACGAUGUGAUAUCACAACAGAUUGAAUGCAGAAGCAGUUACAAGAAUCCAGCUGUCUUCUAUUAAGCCUGACAUUAAAGAGAUUUACAAAAACGUAAAACAAUGUCGCUCUUCUUACUAAUCGUUUUU
Long non-coding RNA from Equus quagga, 1020 nucleotides. RefSeq lists it as uncharacterized. The record is from RefSeq and is a predicted model, not a curated record. The transcript is spliced from 4 exons. Lineage: Eukaryota; Metazoa; Chordata; Mammalia; Perissodactyla; Equidae.